This 305-nucleotide ribosomal RNA is filed under the name uncultured bacterium. Its description in RNAcentral is "bacterial SSU rRNA". It matches the Rfam family "Bacterial small subunit ribosomal RNA", at positions 337 to 653 of the family's 1533-position model. The record is from RNAcentral.
GCCUACGGGGCGCAGCAGUCGAGAAUCAUUCACAAUGGGGGAAACCCUGAUGGUGCGACGCCGCGUGGGGGAAUGAAGGUCUUCGGAUUGUAAACCCCUGUCAUGUGGGAGCAAAUUAAAAAGAUAGUACCACAAGAGGAAGAGACGGCUAACUCUGUGCCAGCAGCCGCGGUAAUACAGAGGUCUCAAGCGUUGUUCGGAAUCACUGGGCGUAAAGCGUGCGUAGGCUGUUUCGUAAGUCGUGUGUGAAAGGCGCGGGCUCAACCCGCGGACGGCACAUGAUACGGCGAGACUAGAGAAAUGGG